UGUGAUUUGCACUAGAUUACUACGGUCAGUUUGGCUCUACCAGGUAACGGUAUUGGAAAUUGUAACUUGUUGUUUUAGAUCAAUGUACUGGAACUUGAAGGUCUGAAAUAGCAACUACUCCCUCCGUCCCAUAAUAUAAGGGAUUUUAAUUUUUUGCUUGCACUGUUUGACCAUUCGUCUUAUUCAAAAAAUUUUGGAAUUAUUAUUUAUUUUAUUUGUGACUUACUUUAUUAUCCAAAGUACUUUAAGCACAACUUUUCGUUUUUUAUAUUUGUACAAAUUUUUUGAAUAAGACGAGUGGUCAAACAAUGCAAGCAAAAAGUCAAAAUCCCUUAUAUUAUGAGACGGAGGGAGUAAAAAGGUUCUCUACUUUAUAUUAUGGCAAAUUAUAUUAUAGACUUUUCAUUGUCACUCACUCUUGACAUUUCCUUUUGGUUGCAAGGCACGCCAAGUAGGGUUAUUUUGCUGUAAGUUUUUUUUUUUGUCAUCACAGCAAAGGACAUUUGCAGUUCACACACCGCACCAUAUGCACCUAGAUCAUAACCAGAUUGGAAUGAAUCCCAACAUACACAGGUGAGGCUAAAAAUCCAUGACAUAGAUAGGACAACAAAUUAACAGGAAGUCAAUUCAAACACAGCAUCCAACUACUGCCAGCUCACCACAACAAAAGCACCAGUUCCCUCUGUGAAAAGAAACCUCAACUCACUUCCUGAACAAACACUUGACACGGUGUGUGUCGAUGUCUAAAUGACAUGCAACCUAACAGCACUGCCUCCACCCUGGCCUUGGCCCUAGAAGAGGCCCAGUUGCACGGCGGCAAGUCCUGCCAGGCCCAGCAUAGCCCAUGACCUGGCCCUGAGCCCAGCUGCACCGGCGGACUGCUUGGCGGGCGGCGCGAGCACCGUUGCUGGGGUUGUGGGCGUCAGACCGGAGCUUGUGCCAGGGGACGCCGGUGUCGCUGGUGUCGUAGAUGGAGUCGUCGGUGUGGUGGACGGGGCUUUUGGGGCUGGGGCUGGAGAGGCCGCGGCAACGUCCACGACGAGCUUCAUGCCGUUGCUGCAGUGGCCGGCGAUGCCGCAGAUGAAGUAGUGCUUGCCGGCGGUCUUGAGGGUGACGGUGGUCGUGCCGCUGCUGUCGCUCUGGAGCGCGUUGCUAGCGGUGCACGCAGCGUAGUCCGCUGCGCUCACCUCAUCCACCGAGUGCGCCCCACCGGCGUAGUUGAACACUGGAGAAAAGUAAAAGUUGCUUAGAAAUGCAUUUGCAAGGCAGCAUAUAUAGCAGGUGAACUGGUGAAGUGCAGCAAGUUUUGAUAUGCAUUUUGGUACUAGGAAGCAUCAAUAUUCAAUAUCAAUGCACAUGUUUUACUUCUUUUUUUUUCAGUUUCUGAUGCAAGUCAUGUUUACUAGUUCUUUUUUUUCUCUAGUAUGAUGCCGAUGCACAUUUUAGUU
This 1448-nucleotide small RNA is filed under the name Oryza sativa Japonica Group (Japanese rice). RNAcentral's name for it is "misc RNA OsMCM9". Lineage: Eukaryota; Viridiplantae; Streptophyta; Magnoliopsida; Poales; Poaceae. The record is from RNAcentral.